CCUACGGGAGGCAGCAGUGGGGAAUCUUGCACAAUGGAGGAAACUCUGAUGCAGCGAUGCCGCGUGAGUGAAGAAGGCCUUUGGGUUGUAAAGCUCUUUUGUAGGGGAAGAUAAUGACUGUACCCUAAGAAUAAGGUCCGGCUAACUUCGUGCCAGCAGCCGCGGUAAUACGAAGGGACCUAGCGUAGUUCGGAAUUACUGGGCGUAAAGCGCGCGUAGGCCGUUGAGUUAGUUAAUUGUGAAAUCCCAAAGCUUAACUUUGGAACUGCAAUUAAAACUGCUCGACUAGAGUUUGAUAGAGGAAAGCGGAAUACAUAGUGUAGAGGUGAAAUUCGUAGAUAUUAUGUAGAACACCAGUUGCGAAGGCGGCUUUCUGGAUCAACACUGACGCUGAGGCGCGAAAGUAUGGGUAGCAAAGAGGAUUAGAUACCCUCGUAGUCCAUACCAUAAACGAUGAUUGCUAGAUGUUGGAAAUUUAUUUUCAGUAUCGCAGCUAACGCAUUAAGCAAUCCGCCUGGGGAGUACGACCGCAAGGUUAAAACUCAAAUGAAUUGNGNGNGNGANGCGAGCGACACGAGGAGAG
RNAcentral lists this ribosomal RNA (583 nucleotides) under uncultured bacterium. RNAcentral describes it as "bacterial SSU rRNA". It matches the Rfam family "Bacterial small subunit ribosomal RNA", at positions 338 to 943 of the family's 1533-position model. The record is from RNAcentral.